Molecule: ribosomal RNA, 1320 nt
Filed under: Sporosarcina globispora
Lineage: Bacteria; Bacillati; Bacillota; Bacilli; Caryophanales; Caryophanaceae
Description: bacterial LSU rRNA
Rfam family: Bacterial large subunit ribosomal RNA
Source: RNAcentral
ACGGCGAGGGAAAUUUAGUACCGAAGUUCCUGAUUCCACACUGCCAAGAAAAGCCUCUAGCGAGGGAAAAGGUGCCCGUACCGCAAACCGACACAGGUAGGCGAGGAGAGAAUCCUAAGGUGAGCGAGAGAACUCUCGUUAAGGAACUCGGCAAAAUGACCCCGUAACUUCGGGAGAAGGGGUGCUCAUUAGGGUGCAUAGCCCUGAUGAGCCGCAGUGAAUAGGCCCAGGCGACUGUUUAGCAAAAACACAGGUCUCUGCGAAGCCGCAAGGCGAAGUAUAGGGGCUGACGCCUGCCCGGUGCUGGAAGGUUAAGAGGAGAGGUUAGCGCAAGCGAAGCUUUGAAUCGAAGCCCCAGUAAACGGCGGCCGUAACUAUAACGGUCCUAAGGUAGCGAAAUUCCUUGUCGGGUAAGUUCCGACCCGCACGAAAGGCGUAACGAUCUGGGCACUGUCUCAACGAGAGACUCGGUGAAAUUAUAGUACCUGUGAAGAUGCAGGUUACCCGCGACAGGACGGAAAGACCCCGUGGAGCUUUACUGUAGCCUGAUAUUGAAUUUUGGUACAGCUUGUACAGGAUAGGUAGGAGCCUGAGAAGCCGGAGCGCCAGCUUCGGUGGAGGCGUCGGUGGGAUACUACCCUGGCUGUAUUGAAAUUCUAACCCGCGCCCCUUAUCGGGGCGGGAGACAGUGUCAGGUGGGCAGUUUGACUGGGGCGGUCGCCUCCUAAAAAGUAACGGAGGCGCCCAAAGGUUCCCUCAGAAUGGUUGGAAAUCAUUCGCAGAGUGUAAAGGCACAAGGGAGCUUGACUGCGAGACCUACAAGUCGAGCAGGGACGAAAGUCGGGCUUAGUGAUCCGGUGGUUCCGCAUGGAAGGGCCAUCGCUCAACGGAUAAAAGCUACCCCGGGGAUAACAGGCUUAUCUCCCCCAAGAGUCCACAUCGACGGGGAGGUUUGGCACCUCGAUGUCGGCUCAUCGCAUCCUGGGGCUGUAGUCGGUCCCAAGGGUUGGGCUGUUCGCCCAUUAAAGCGGUACGCGAGCUGGGUUCAGAACGUCGUGAGACAGUUCGGUCCCUAUCCGUCGUGGGCGCAGGAAAUUUGAGAGGAGCUGUCCUUAGUACGAGAGGACCGGGAUGGACGCACCGCUGGUGUACCAGUUGUCUUGCCAAAGGCAUCGCUGGGUAGCUAUGUGCGGAAGGGAUAAGUGCUGAAAGCAUCUAAGCAUGAAGCCCCCCUCGAGAUGAGAUUUCCCAUAGCGUCAAGCUAGUAAGAUCCCUGAAAGAUGAUCAGGUUGAUAGGUCAGAGGUGGAAGCGUGGCGACA